This 477-nucleotide ribosomal RNA is filed under the name Chitoniscus sarrameaensis. Its description in RNAcentral is "partial large subunit ribosomal RNA". The stretch from base 336 to 477 matches the Rfam family "Bacterial large subunit ribosomal RNA", at positions 2473 to 2615 of the family's 2925-position model. Lineage: Eukaryota; Metazoa; Arthropoda; Insecta; Phasmatodea; Phylliidae. The record is from RNAcentral.
AUGAUUAAUUUAAUGGCCGCGGUAUUUUGACCGUGCAAAGGUAGCAUAAUCAUUAGCCUAUUUAUUGUAGGAUUGUAUGAAUGGUUAGACGAAAUAUUGACUGUCUCAAUAGAAUUUAUAUAAUUUAAUUUUUGAGUUAAAAAGCUUAAAUUUUUUUAAAGGACGAGAAGACCCUAUAGAUCUUUAUUAUUUUUUUUUAUUAAUCUUUAGAUUUUUAAUAUUAUUAUUUUUUUUGUUGGGGUGACAUUUAGAUAUAACUAACUCUUUAUUAUUUUUUUUCAUUAAUUUAUGUUUAUUUGACCUUUUAUUAUUGUUAUAAGAAUAGAUACCUUAGGGAUAACAGCGUAAUUCUUUUUGAGAGUUCUUAUUGACGAAUGAGAUUGCGACCUCGAUGUUGAAUUAAGAUUAUUAUUUGGUGUAGUCGCUUAAUUAAUUGGUCUGUUCGACCAUUAAAUUCUUACAUGAUCUGAGUUCAAA